RNAcentral lists this ribosomal RNA (450 nucleotides) under Escherichia coli. RNAcentral's name for it is "bacterial SSU rRNA". It matches the Rfam family "Bacterial small subunit ribosomal RNA", at positions 521 to 970 of the family's 1533-position model. The record is from RNAcentral. Lineage: Bacteria; Pseudomonadati; Pseudomonadota; Gammaproteobacteria; Enterobacterales; Enterobacteriaceae.
UAAUACGGAGGGUGCAAGCGUUAAUCGGAAUUACUGGGCGUAAAGCGCACGCAGGCGGUUUGUUAAGUCAGAUGUGAAAUCCCCGGGCUCAACCUGGGAACUGCAUCUGAUACUGGCAAGCUUGAGUCUCGUAGAGGGGGGUAGAAUUCCAGGUGUAGCGGUGAAAUGCGUAGAGAUCUGGAGGAAUACCGGUGGCGAAGGCGGCCCCCUGGACGAAGACUGACGCUCAGGUGCGAAAGCGUGGGGAGCAAACAGGAUUAGAUACCCUGGUAGUCCACGCCGUAAACGAUGUCGACUUGGAGGUUGUGCCCUUGAGGCGUGGCUUCCGGAGCUAACGCGUUAAGUCGACCGCCUGGGGAGUACGGCCGCAAGGUUAAAACUCAAAUGAAUUGACGGGGGCCCGCACAAGCGGUGGAGCAUGUGGUUUAAUUCGAUGCAACGCGAAGAACC